Aricia agestis (brown argus) is the source of this 976-nucleotide long non-coding RNA. RefSeq lists it as uncharacterized. NCBI's taxonomy places the organism in Eukaryota, Metazoa, Arthropoda, Insecta, Lepidoptera, Lycaenidae. The transcript is spliced from 4 exons. The record is from RefSeq and is a predicted model, not a curated record.
AUGUAACCUGAGUUUCUUAGCCACAGGGUCAUACCAGAGGAUUGUGGGUGUGACACAUUUGCCACAGCGAACAACAAGCCGCUGCAUAAGGCAGGUUGUGGAAGCUAUAAAUUCCAAUUACAUGCUAGGUAAAUGGAUUAAGUUCCCUCAAACACACCAGGAAAGGUCGGUAUUAAGACAAGAAUUUCAAAGAAGAUACCAUGUACCUGGAUUUAUAGAUUUUAAUAGGAUGUAGAGAUUGCACCCACAUUGCAAUAGUGAAGCCUGAUGAAGAAGAACAUAUUUAUUUUAACGGAAAAGGAUACCACUCUAUAAAUGUACAAAUGAUUUAUAAUUUAAAUAUUUUAAAUGUGAAUGCAAGAUUUGGAGGAGCUACGCAUGAUUCUUUUAUUUGGGCGUCAAGUCAAGUUUAAGGGUUUAUGCGUGGCCUUCAUCAAAAUGGUGAACAAACGUGGUUAUUAGGUGAUGCUGGAUAUCCACAGAGAGCCUGGCUUAUGACACCUAUAUUAGAUGCUGCACCAGGCUCUCGAGAAGCAAUGUAUACUGCACGUCACAUUCAAGCAAGGAACUGCUUUGAGCGUUGUUAUGGUUUGCUUAAGCACCGUACACUGCAUUAUCAUCCUCAUGUUGCUAGCAAAAUAGUAUAUGCAUGUUGUGUAUUGCACAACAUUGCAUUGAAUGCGCAGUUACCUGCACCAAGUGGAAUUGCAGGGCAACCAGAUGAUGAUAAUGUUGCUGUACCAAUAGGCUCUUCCAUUCUUAGCAACCAAGAUGACUUAAUGCGAGGCAGAGAAAAAGAGAUCAGUGCCUUAAUUAAUAGAUUAAAAUAAUUGUAAAUAUUAAUUAAUAGAAUAAGUUUCAGUGUAAACUCACAAAGGAGAAUUAACAGAAGUGGUUAUAAUGAUUCAGUAUUCAGUAGACAAUUUUACUUAGUAUAUUACUAGCUGACCCGGUAAACUUCGUGUCACUUUAAAAC